GACGAACGCUGGCGGCGUGCCUAAUACAUGCAAGUAGAACGCUGAAGAGAGGAGCUUGCUCUUCUUGGAUGGGUUGCGAACGGGUGAGUAACGCGUAGGUAACCUGCCUUGUAGCGGGGGAUAACUAUUGGAAACGAUAGCUAAUACCGCAUAACAAUGGAUGACCCAUGUCAUUUAUUUGAAAGGGGCAAAUGCUCCACUACAAGAUGGACCUGCGUUGUAUUAGCUAGUAGGUGAGGUAACGGCUCACCUAGGCGACGAUACAUAGCCGACCUGAGAGGGUGAUCGGCCACACUGGGACUGAGACACGGCCCAGACUCCUACGGGAGGCAGCAGUAGGGAAUCUUCGGCAAUGGGGGCAACCCUGACCGAGCAACGCCGCGUGAGUGAAGAAGGUUUUCGGAUCGUAAAGCUCUGUUGUAAGUCAAGAACGAGUGUGAGAGUGGAAAGUUCACACUGUGACGGUAGCUUACCAGAAAGGGACGGCUAACUACGUG
This 497-nucleotide ribosomal RNA is filed under the name uncultured bacterium. Its description in RNAcentral is "partial 16S ribosomal RNA". It matches the Rfam family "Bacterial small subunit ribosomal RNA", at positions 28 to 507 of the family's 1533-position model. The record is from RNAcentral.